UACAGAGGGUGCGAGCGUUAAUCGGAAUUACUGGGCGUAAAGCGUGCGUAGGCGGCUUUGCAAGUCGGGUGUGAAAUCCCCAGGCUUAACCUGGGAACUGCAUUCGAGACUGCAUUGCUAGAGUAUGGGAGAGGGAAGUGGAAUUUCCGGUGUAGCGGUGAAAUGCGCAGAUAUCGGGAGGAACACCGGUGGCGAAGGCGGUUCUCUGGGCAUGUCCUGACGCUGAGGAGCGAAAGUGUGGGGAGCGAACAGG
This 253-nucleotide ribosomal RNA is filed under the name uncultured bacterium. RNAcentral's name for it is "partial 16S ribosomal RNA". It matches the Rfam family "Bacterial small subunit ribosomal RNA", at positions 524 to 776 of the family's 1533-position model. The record is from RNAcentral.